Molecule: non-coding RNA, 76 nt
Organism: Myotis lucifugus (little brown bat)
Lineage: Eukaryota; Metazoa; Chordata; Mammalia; Chiroptera; Vespertilionidae
Source: Rfam
AGCGGUUCUCAGGUGAUGCACCCCAGAACCAGAGAGGAGGGAGCCCGAUUCCGGGGUGUGUCACCUGAGAACUGCC